RNAcentral lists this ribosomal RNA (492 nucleotides) under uncultured bacterium. RNAcentral describes it as "partial 16S ribosomal RNA". It matches the Rfam family "Bacterial small subunit ribosomal RNA", at positions 29 to 507 of the family's 1533-position model. The record is from RNAcentral.
AGUGAACGCUGGCGGUAGGCCUAACACAUGCAAGUCGAACGGCAGCACAGUAAGAGCUUGCUCUUACGGGUGGCGAGUGGCGGACGGGUGAGGAAUACAUCGGCAUCUACUUUUUCGUGGAGGAUAACGUAGGGAAACUUACGCUAAUACCGCAUACGACCUACGGGUGAAAUCAGGAGAUCUUCGGACCUUGCGCGAUUGAAUGAGCCGACGUCGGAUUAGCUAGGUGGCGGGGUAACGGCACACCAAGGCGACGAUGCGUAGCUGGUCUGAGAGGAUGAUCAGCCACACUGGAACUGAGACACGGUCCAGACUCCUACGGGAGGCAGCAGUGGGGAAUAUUGCACAAUGGGCGCAAGCCUGAUCCAGCCAUACCGCGUGAGUGAAGAAGGUCUUCGGGUUGUAAAGCUCUUUUGUUGGGAAAGAAAAGCUGCAUGUGUAUACCCCGCUGUUCUGACGGUACCCAAAGAAUAAGCACCGGCUAACUUCGUG